CCCUUAGAUGUUCUGGGCCGCACGCGCGCUACACUGACGAUGGCAACGAGUUUUUCCUUCGCCGAAAGGUGUGGGUAAUCUUUUGAAACAUCGUCGUGCUGGGGAUAGAUCAUUGCAAUUUUUGAUCUUGAACGAGGAAUUCCUAGUAAGCGCGAGUCAUCAGCUCGCGUUGAUUACGUCCCUGCCCUUUGUACACACCGCCCGUCGCUACUACCGAUUGAAUGGUUGAGUGAGGACUCCUGAUUGGCGCCGCCGCCCCGGCAACGGAGCAGCGGACUGCCGAAAAGUUGUUCAAACUUGAUCAUUUAGAGGAAGUAAAAGUCGUAACA
This 329-nucleotide ribosomal RNA is filed under the name uncultured eukaryote. RNAcentral's name for it is "partial 18S ribosomal RNA". It matches the Rfam family "Eukaryotic small subunit ribosomal RNA", at positions 1470 to 1796 of the family's 1831-position model. The record is from RNAcentral.